RNAcentral lists this ribosomal RNA (485 nucleotides) under uncultured bacterium. RNAcentral describes it as "partial 16S ribosomal RNA". It matches the Rfam family "Bacterial small subunit ribosomal RNA", at positions 29 to 506 of the family's 1533-position model. The record is from RNAcentral.
AUUGAACGCUGGCGGCAUGCUUUACACAUGCAAGUCGAGCGGCAGCGCGGGGGCAACCCUGGCGGCGAGCGGCGAACGGGUGAGUAAUGCAUCGGAACGUAUCCUCGAGUGGGGGAUAACCCAGCGAAAGUUGGGCUAAUACCGCAUGAGCUCUGAGGAGGAAAGCGGGGGACCUGCGAGGGCCUCGCGCUGGGGGAGCGGCCGAUGUCCGAUUAGCUAGUUGGUGGGGUAAAGGCUUACCAAGGCGACGAUCGGUAGCUGGUCUGAGAGGAUGAUCAGCCACACUGGGACUGAGACACGGCCCAGACUCCUACGGGAGGCAGCAGUGGGGAAUUUUGGACAAUGAGGGCAACCCUGAUCCAGCCAUGCCGCGUGAGUGAAGAAGGCCUUCGGGUUGUAAAGCUCUUUCGGACGGAACGAAAUGGGCGGGACUAAUACUCCUGUCUGAUGACGGUACCGUAAGAAGAAGCACCGGCUAACUACGU